ACCUGGCUGGCUCAAAUAGUAGAGCAAAUGACUAUUGAUCUUAAGGUUGUGAGUUCAAGCCCCAUGUUGGGUG
RNAcentral lists this transfer RNA (73 nucleotides) under Canis lupus familiaris (dog). It matches the Rfam family "tRNA". From Rfam's summary of the family: Transfer RNA (tRNA) molecules are approximately 80 nucleotides in length. RNAcentral also lists the same sequence under 2 other names. The record is from Rfam by way of RNAcentral. Lineage: Eukaryota; Metazoa; Chordata; Mammalia; Carnivora; Canidae.